GAGCUAGUGGUAUAGCGGUGAGCAUAGCUGCCUUCCAAGCAGUUGACUCAGGUUCGAUUCCUGGCCAACACA
RNAcentral lists this transfer RNA (72 nucleotides) under Amazona aestiva (blue-fronted amazon). It matches the Rfam family "tRNA". Rfam says of the family: Transfer RNA (tRNA) molecules are approximately 80 nucleotides in length. Their secondary structure includes four short double-helical elements and three loops (D, anti-codon, and T loops). The record is from Rfam by way of RNAcentral. Lineage: Eukaryota; Metazoa; Chordata; Aves; Psittaciformes; Psittacidae.